This 2155-nucleotide long non-coding RNA is filed under the name Takifugu rubripes (torafugu). RNAcentral's name for it is "lncRNA (ENSTRUG00000028700.1)". The record is from RNAcentral. Lineage: Eukaryota; Metazoa; Chordata; Actinopteri; Tetraodontiformes; Tetraodontidae.
GCCAGGAUCUGACCGUCCUCUCUGGCAGGUUGGAGAAUGAUAAGGGGGCGGGCCGGAGAGCGGGCGAGCGGGCGGGCGGUGUUAGGAGCUGUCGUGUGAUUGGUCGGGAGUGACGUAUCCGGAGCCACUUCCUGGUCGCUCCGCUCUCCGGGAGGAGGAGAGUGCAAAUGCGGUGUUGUUAGUUUGAACAAAAUGGCUGCGAGACCACUGUCAACGAGAGCUCACUGAACGCCUAUCAUGACUGUCCGCUCCGCCGUCUGGAUUCACAUAGAAUAAAACGCAUUUUGGAGAAUGUUUUUUCUACGUGUUUUUGCUGCCAUGCACCGACUCCUCACCGAGAGCUGCCAAAGCUGCACUUAACGCCAGCUGAAAGAAGCUAGCGACAGAAAAACGAGAACCAUUUGAUGGAAGAAAAGAAAAAGAAAAAACAAGAAGAAAAGACCAAGACGGACAUUGCUCAGAAAAAGGCUGCUGAUCAACAACCCAAAGGUGAGCAACACAAUCAAACGUACUGAACGCACUCAUCUACCUCUUUUUUCGACUCCCUCCCAACCCCUGAUUAUACAUUAAUAAGCGCUGAUUAACACGCAGCGACCCAGAAAAGCAUAUCCUCAUAUAUACGACGAUUGUGCACAUUGCACCAAGUGUGGCAUAUUGUGCCCAGAUGGACAGGCGUAGUUUUCACCUGUAUGCACAAUGAUGCCAUUUCAUUCCAUGUCGCUGGCUUGCACAUAUACAGAACAGUGAAUACAGUAGAGUCUAAUGCAAAGUGAUGUGAAGUGACACUCGGUGCGCCCUCAGCACCAGCCAGUGAAGCGUGACGACAUUCAGACAGCAGUGAAGUGUAUGGGGGAGGGUUGGGAUGGGAGAGGUGAAUGGCACAAUGGAAUGGAGUUGUGAGCUGAAAUGAGACAAUGCACUGAAAGAGUGGUGUCCCUGUAUGUCCCUGGUGUUCCCCUGAGAUGUCAAGCUUACUCCAGCUUACUUCAGCUUCCGUAUUGAGCUGCGUUGAACACGUUUAGGUCGUUUUCAAGCAGAAUAGAUUUACAUUUACUGCUUUAUGCUAAAACAAUGCUUAAGCUAAGUAUAUGGGGGUCGACCAGUCUAAAUAGUAGUAGCUAGGUUAUCUGGACUGUUGAACUGAGCAAAAGUCAGCACGGCUUUCCUUGAACUUUAACCUCUCAAUUAAAUUUCCAUGACUGUAGGCUCAUUUUUUUAAAUCAACAGUUUUGAAAGUGUCUUGUGUUUUGUGGUUGUUGCUUGAUUGAUUGUGGCUUUAUUUUAAAGACAUGAUUGUUUAGCCCACGUUUCAUUCAUAGAUAUUCACUGUUGUUCCGAUCGCCCGUGUUGUGUUUUGGUUUGUGACUUAAACCCUGACUGAUGAGCUGACAGCCAGGCAAUUAUACGUUUUGUCAAAAAGUUGGCUCAUACAAACUUAAAUCUUUGAUUUUUGCUUUAAGAGACUGUGGAAAGUGGAUAUAUAGUUUAUAUAGAGUGACUCAAUGUUUUAGCUGUCAGUUCUGAGUAUACGUUUGUCUCUGGGCUUUACUAAAUUAACUUACAGGCAAUGCCAAAGAAAUAUGAAAUAGACUGAAGCCGUGUAUAAAAGGAACAAGUAAAGUUGGAGACGGCUCCAGGGAAGGAAGGAAUGAGAGUACUGAAGCAGUGGUUAGUGGCCAAAAAUGACCUUCAGGAGUCUGUGACACUGUUACUAUAGGAAAGGACGCAGCCAUUUGAUCCAUGGCAUGUUUAAUGGGAGAUGAAAGAGAAAGGAACAUGAAUUCCAAACGUAUUCUCAUAUAGGCAGUAGGUAUUUAUAUAGAGGAGGGGAAAAGGCCUGUUUGAAUGCUAUUUAUUGAGUGAGCCAGAAGGACCUCAUCUCCUUAAUGGCAUCAAGUGGAAUAAGUUGACUCUUAAUGUGUGACACUAAAUAAUGAUAAUAAAUGUGUUUUUGUGUGUGCGCGGGGAAGGAGAAAAUCAGAAUUGAAAAUGGGUGAAUUUGCUUUCUUAUACACUUUCAGAAAUUCAUAGACACAUACAUAUUUCCCCCCCCCAUCCUUGGUCUCAGGCAUUUCAAUUUGUUUGCAGUAAUCGAUCUCAGCCUUCCACAUCCAUAUGUAUGAAAAUGAGAUAAAGCUUUGGCACAUUGGAAUUA